AAAUAUAUAAAUUUAAUAUAUUUUAUUUAUUCUUUUAUAUUUUUAGUAUAUCGUACAAAUUUAAUAAUUUUCGAAAAUAUUUGAAUUGCUAUUUGGUAAAUAUUUUUAUUAGGCCGUCCGCAAAUAUAAAAUUCGUUGGUAAAUAUUCCACCGCGAUUUUUCCGUUUUGCGUUAAUUACCGUAGUUAUAUAUUUUAUAUAUUAAUAUAUUUAAAUUUCGUUAAAAAGUUUUUAUUUUACCCCAUUAUUAACCGAAUUAUUUAUAUAUUAUUAUAAAAUAUUUUAAUUGCGCGAAAAAUAUUUAAAUUAAUAUUAUUUAAUAAUUUUUUAAACGCAAUAAUUUAUUUUCCAAUUUAACCCAAAAUUAAUAAUUUAAAUUCCGUUAAUAAUAUGGAAAUAAUUGUUUAUUUUAAAAAUUUCCAAUAUAUAAAAUUAUUUCCGAUUAUAAAUAUAAGAUUUUAUAAAUUGCAUUCAAUUUUAACGCAAUUAAUAAAUAAUGCGUUGGACGCGACCAUUAAAAAUCCGUAAAUUUUCCAGGGUCCGAAACGAAUUGCUAAAAAACGCGUCGAAAAGAAAUAACGUAUAAUUUAAUUUACCGCAUUUAUAUAUUUUUCGAAUGGGUUGGUUAAAUAUUUUAAUAAUUUUAAAACGGCGAACGCAAUAUUAAAGCGAAUCGUUACGGUUAUAUAUUAAAUUUCCCAUUUUUUCCUAAUAUAUCCGGAUAAAUUAUUUAUUUCCCGGUUCGCCCUAAUUAAAUAAUAACUUCGUAACCGGAUAAAAUAUUGCGGGGAAAAAUUUAUUUAUUUUGUACAAAUUAUAUUUUUACGCCAAUUCUUUUAUAUAUAAAUUAUAUAUCAAAUAAAUGCAUUAUUAUUUUCGAUUUUUAAUAAUUUUUAUAU
RNAcentral lists this small RNA (898 nucleotides) under Pyricularia oryzae. RNAcentral describes it as "Magnaporthe oryzae sRNA M_BR32_EuGene_00098721". The record is from RNAcentral. Lineage: Eukaryota; Fungi; Ascomycota; Sordariomycetes; Magnaporthales; Pyriculariaceae.